GCAUUGGUGGCUCAGUGGUAGAAUUCUUGCCUGCCAUGCGAGAGACCCAGGUCUAAUUCCCGGUCAAUGCA
This 71-nucleotide transfer RNA is filed under the name Danio rerio (zebrafish). It matches the Rfam family "tRNA". Rfam says of the family: Transfer RNA (tRNA) molecules are approximately 80 nucleotides in length. Their secondary structure includes four short double-helical elements and three loops (D, anti-codon, and T loops). The record is from Rfam by way of RNAcentral. Lineage: Eukaryota; Metazoa; Chordata; Actinopteri; Cypriniformes; Danionidae.